This 440-nucleotide ribosomal RNA is filed under the name Entelexis sorbosivorans. RNAcentral describes it as "eukaryotic LSU rRNA". It matches the Rfam family "Eukaryotic large subunit ribosomal RNA", at positions 79 to 655 of the family's 3401-position model. The record is from RNAcentral. Lineage: Eukaryota; Fungi; Ascomycota; Dipodascomycetes; Dipodascales; Trichomonascaceae.
CCUAGUAAUGGCGAAUGGACAGGCAAAAGCUCAGAUUUGAAACCCUCGGGAUUGUAAUCUGGAGACCUGGAUUUGGCACGCUGACCAAGUCUUCUGGAACGGAGCGCCAUGGAGGGUGACAGCCCCGUAGCAGCAGCCACUGUAAAUCCGGGUCGACGAGUCGAGUUGUUUGGGAAUGCAGCUCUAAGUGGGUGGUAUGCUCCAUCUAAAGCUAAAUAUUGGCGAGAGACCGAUAGCGAACAAGUACUGUGAAGGAAAGAUGAAAAGAACUUUGAAAAGAGAGUGAAAAAGUACGUGAAAUUGUUGAAAUGGAAGGCAAUGAGGUGCGAUUGAACCGGACGUUUGCGGGCAGGACAAAAGCGCAGGCCGCCUCGGCAUUGCCUGCGUGCAUACUGCCUCGCGGACUACCAGUUCUAACAACGCCUUAUUGCACCCGUCUU